Molecule: ribosomal RNA, 253 nt
Filed under: uncultured bacterium
Lineage: Bacteria
Description: partial 16S ribosomal RNA
Rfam family: Bacterial small subunit ribosomal RNA
Source: RNAcentral
UACGUAGGGUGCAAGCGUUGUCCGGAAUUAUUGGGCGUAAAGAGCUCGUAGGCGGUUCAUUGCGUCAAUCGUGAAAUCCUGUGGCUCAACUACAGGCUUGCGGUUGAUACGGGUGGGCUGGAGUUCGGUAGGGGAGACUGGAAUUCCUGGUGUAGCGGUGAAAUGCGCAGAUAUCAGGAGGAACACCAGUGGCGAAGGCGGCUCACUGGACCGGAACUGACGCUGAGGCGCGAAAGCGUGGGGAGCAAACGGG